GUCGUCUUAGCUCAGUUGGGAGAGCGUCGUAUGUGUACACCCAUAAAAUCCAUCGAAAUUACAACUAACUUGUGCCAUCAGAGACUGAAGUUUCACUUCUGGUCGUUAAAUCUGAAGGUCGUGUGUUCAAUCCACACAGACGACA
Non-coding RNA from Fonsecaea multimorphosa CBS 102226, 145 nucleotides. The record is from the annotation of a RefSeq genome assembly. NCBI's taxonomy places the organism in Eukaryota, Fungi, Ascomycota, Eurotiomycetes, Chaetothyriales, Herpotrichiellaceae.